Molecule: ribosomal RNA, 744 nt
Filed under: uncultured bacterium
Lineage: Bacteria
Description: bacterial SSU rRNA
Rfam family: Bacterial small subunit ribosomal RNA
Source: RNAcentral
AGAGUUUGAUCAUGGCUCAGAGCGAACGCUGGCGGCAGGCUUAACACAUGCAAGUCGAGCGGGCGUAGCAAUACGUCAGCGGCAGACGGGUGAGUAACGCGUGGGAACGUACCUUUUGGUUCGGAACAACACAGGGAAACUUGUGCUAAUACCGGAUAAGCCCUUACGGGGAAAGAUUUAUCGCCGAAAGAUCGGCCCGCGUCUGAUUAGCUAGUUGGUGAGGUAACGGCUCACCAAGGCGACGAUCAGUAGCUGGUCUGAGAGGAUGAUCAGCCACAUUGGGACUGAGACACGGCCCAAACUCCUACGGGAGGCAGCAGUGGGGAAUAUUGGACAAUGGGCGCAAGCCUGAUCCAGCCAUGCCGCGUGAGUGAUGAAGGCCCUAGGGUUGUAAAGCUCUUUUGUGCGGGAAGAUAAUGACGGUACCGCAAGAAUAAGCCCCGGCUAACUUCGUGCCAGCAGCCGCGGUAAUACGAAGGGGGCUAGCGUUGCUCGGAAUCACUGGGCGUAAAGGGUGCGUAGGCGGGUCUUUAAGUCAGGGGUGAAAUCCUGGAGCUCAACUCCAGAACUGCCUUUGAUACUGAAGAUCUUGAGUUCGGGAGAGGUGAGUGGAACUGCGAGUGUAGAGGUGAAAUUCGUAGAUAUUCGCAAGAACACCAGUGGCGAAGGCGGCUCACUGGCCCGAUACUGACGCUGAGGCACGAAAGCGUGGGGAGCAAACAGGAUUAGAUACCCCGGUAGUCC